CUCGUCUUGAUUGGCAGAUGUAAAUAAACGGUGGAACGGCUGUAAAAGAGCCUUGCCACUGGGUAAAAUAAGGGAUGCCGCGGAACCCGCUCCUCAGUCGGUCAACUUUGGAAGCGCGGGCAACGCAGGUAUUAUCGUCUAAAGGGCCGGGUGCAACCGGCCC
Molecule: small RNA, 163 nt
Filed under: uncultured Collinsella sp.
Lineage: Bacteria; Bacillati; Actinomycetota; Coriobacteriia; Coriobacteriales; Coriobacteriaceae
Description: Collinsella-1 RNA
Rfam family: Collinsella-1 RNA
Source: RNAcentral